Long non-coding RNA from Danio rerio (zebrafish), 3482 nucleotides. The record is from Ensembl. Lineage: Eukaryota; Metazoa; Chordata; Actinopteri; Cypriniformes; Danionidae.
GCUUUGUGAAUUUAUUCUAUAUACAGUUUGUCAUACUUGCACAAAACAGUGGACCGACUGAAUGAAAAUAAUCUAAACUUCAAAUCUAAGCAUCUUAAAAACCAUCUAAUCUGUUCUGAAGACAGUUAGGUUAUUUAAGAUACUUUAAUAAAACCUUCCACACUUAUUUCUGUAUUUCGGAUUGUCUUCCUGUUAUGAACACUGGUGCUGAUUCAUGUGAAAUCUUUUACAAUUAAAGAAAGACAAAGCUCUUAAUUUACCGGUCAAUCUACUUUCCUACUCUCACCUAUGGUCAUAAGCUUUGGGUUAUGACUGAAAGGACAAGAUCUCAGUUACAAGCGGCCGAAAUGAGUUUACCUCACAGGGUGGCAGGGCGCACCCUUAUAGGUGAGGAGCUCUUUCACCUGGGAGGAGCUCGGAGUAGAGCCUCCUCCACAUCGAGAGAAGUCAGCUGAGUUGGCGCAGGCAUCUGUUUAGGAUGCCUCCUGGACGCCUACCUAGGAAGGUAUUCCAGGCAUGUCCCACCAGCAGGAGGCCUCGGGAAAGACCCAGGACAGGAUGGAGGGACUAUAUCUCUCGUCUGACCUAGGAACGCCUUAGGAUUCCCCUGGAGGAGCUGGAGGAAGUGUCUGGGGAGAAGGAAGUCUGUGGUUCUGACUACCCCCGCGACCCGGCCCUGGAAAAGCGGCAGAUAAUAAAUGAAUGAAUAAAUAAACGAAUAGAAACAUAUUUUCACAAAUGAAGGCAAACAUUUUAGUGACAUCUUAUGAAAUGUAAAUUGCUUCAUGGCAAAAGAAUGUUUCUGUUUUCCUUCAGGUCCUGUGGUAGGCGAGUUUCUUCCAGCUCUCCUGCCUCUGUUGAAGAGCUGUGUUGACCCCAGCCGAGAGCCUGAGAUGAGGCUGCACAUCUUCACCAUGCUGUCCAAACUACUGCUGGACGCCAAAAACACACUGGACUCACAGGGGCAGUUUGGUGAACACAUGGAGAUGGUCCUGCAGGAUUUGUUGAUGCCCAAUCUGGUGUGGCGUUCAGGUCGAUCAGCUGCAGCUGUCAGAACCGCUGCUCUCAGCUGUCUGUUAGCUGUCCUACAUGGAGAGGCUUUCCCAGCAGAGAGAGUGGUGUCAGCGGUGGACUCUCUCUCCUCUCUGCUGAUCUCUGCACUGGAGGAAGACUCAAAACUGGCUCGUCUUCUGGCCUGUAGAUCUCUGACCUCCCUGCUGAAGAUCACAGCUCAGCAGAUCAGCACUGACAAGCUCAACCAAGUCUAUCCAGAGCUGCUGAAGCGUGUGGAUGACAGCAGUGAAGACGUGCGUGUGGAGGCUCUCAAGUCUCUGAGUGUGUGGUUCUGCUCUUUGGGGAAAAACUAUGACAUGCAGUCCAACCGUCCACACCUGGAGCUCCUGUUCCAGCAGCUGCUGCUCUACAUGGAUGAUCCUGACACCACAGUCCAGAACACAGUGCUCGGUGUUCUGAAGGUGGCGAGUGCAGUGGAUGGAGAUCUGUUACAGCAGCAGACAGAGAGUGUGAGAGAGAAACAGCGCAGCCCAGAGUACUGUGACAAACUCCUGCAGCACAUACACUCAUUAUGACAAUCAAGCCCUAAACACACACACAAAGACACUCACACACGCACAAAACUCCAGACAUGCACACACACUUACUGUGUACAUUCAGACAAUUUGUGAAUGGGCAAAAUCUAAGUGUAUUUUCACCUUUGCUCUUUUAUUAUUGGUGAACUUUUAUUAAAGUAAAUGUUAUAUAUAUGAAAACAGUAAACAUCAUACAUUUUAUAAUUAAUAUACCCAAAUUGCUCAUAAAAACAUUGACUGUAGUUGUCUCCCAGAUUUGAAGAUGAACUUAUUUAAAAUGUGCCUUUUCUUUUUGCCGUCGACACCUUUAUUAUUCAUUGAACUUACGAUUGUUAAUAAAUAAAUUCGUUUAUUAAACUUUUUUUUUCACAUUUCUGUUUUCAGCGGAUGCUUUCUUGCCACAGAAACAUGUCAAGAAUACAUUCAUAAAUAACAAUACUAUCAUCAUAGUAAUUACUAAAGGCAUAUAAGAGGAAUAGUUCACACAAAAAUGACAAUUUGCAGAUUUAUUCAUUCAUUUUUGCGUACUAUCCCUUUAAGUAUUCUCCAUAAACUACAUUAGUUAGCACAAAAUGCUAGUUAAUCAAUACUGUUUGUUCCCUUCAUACACUACCUGACAAAAGUCUUGUCGCCUAUCCAAGUUUUAGGAACAACAAAUAACAAUUUGACUUCUAGUUGAUCAUUUGGGAUCAGAAGUGGCUUAAAUGAAAGGUAAAGGCGUCUAUUUUACCAAAAUAAAAUAUGAUCAUGUCUUGAUUUUUAAUUAUUUAAUUAGGACAGUAAGCUCUGUAAGUAAGUCCUGUCUCUUAAAAGAAAUAAUGUACAGUAUAGAAUAUAAAGUCAUGCUGCAGUGGAAAAAGAAUGAAUAUUGUGUAUGACCCCCCUGAGCUUGGAGGACUGCAUCCAUACAUCUCUGCAAUGACUUAAAUCACUUACUAAUAAAGUCAUCUGAAGUCGUUCUUGCAGGACUCCCAGAGUUCAUCAAGAUUCAUCUUCAAUGCCUCUUUCUUCAUCUUACCCUAGACAUGCUCAAUAUGUUCAUGUCUGCUGACUGGGCUGGCCAAUCCUGGAGCACCUUGACCUUCUUUGCUUUCAGGAACUUUGAUAUGGAGGCUGAAGUAUGAGAAGGAGCGCUAUCCUGCUGGAGAAUUUACCGUCUGCAGUGGUUUGUAAUGUAAUGGGCAGCACAAAUGUCUUGAUGCCUCAGGCUUGUGAUGUUGCCAUCCAUUCUGCAGAUCUCUUGCACGCCCCCAUACUGAAUGUGACCCCAAACCAUGAAUUUUCCUUCACCAAACUUGACUGAUUUCUUUGAGAAUCUUGGCUCCAUGCUGGUUCCAGUAGGUCUUCUGCAGUAUUUGUGAUGAUUAAGAUGCAGUACAACAGAUGAUUCAUGGAAAAAAUCAACCUUCUGCCACUUUUCCAAAUGAUCAACUAGAAGUCAAGUUAUUAUCUGUUGCUCUUACAACUGAGAUCGACGACAAGACUUUUGUCAGGUAGCGUAGACAGUAAUGUUCUGGCAGUAUUUUGAUAUAAUUAUGGAUUAUAAUGUUUUGUAUCCUAUAUGAAAUAUUAUCCAGAUCUAUUUCUUGAUUAAAUGCAGUAUGAUGCAUUAGAAGCAGGAAGAACUAGAUAUUGAUGACAUUUAAUAAUGGUGAUGAUUGGACGAGAUGCCGGGCCGGGGGAAUUUUUUUAGAAGUUUGUCUAAGUUCAUCACAAUAUUAAUUUCCAUGUUGGGUUGAUGCGGGGUCAGCCUAGUGAAUGCUGUUUCUUCAACCUCUCCGAAUGCUGAACUCUCUCCUCUGGAGUCUUUUUGUAGCUCCUGAAACACAGAAACACUUUUAUUUUGUAUAUUUUCUUUUGUGAAUUGAAUUUCUAUUGUGAUUUCUAUCUGUG